This 75-nucleotide transfer RNA is filed under the name Burkholderia multivorans. Its description in RNAcentral is "tRNA-Arg". It matches the Rfam family "tRNA". Rfam says of the family: Transfer RNA (tRNA) molecules are approximately 80 nucleotides in length. Lineage: Bacteria; Pseudomonadati; Pseudomonadota; Betaproteobacteria; Burkholderiales; Burkholderiaceae. The record is from RNAcentral.
CGCGGAGUAGGCUAAUCAGAAAACCGUCGGCCCCCUAAGCCGGUAUUGCUGGUGCGAAUCCAGCCUCCGCAACCA